Molecule: long non-coding RNA, 164 nt
Organism: Drosophila hydei
Lineage: Eukaryota; Metazoa; Arthropoda; Insecta; Diptera; Drosophilidae
Exons: 2
Source: RefSeq, a predicted model, not a curated record
UAAAAUAAAAGCUUCUUAAAAUAAAAUGUCUUAAUAAGACAAAUAAGUAAAAUAUGUAAAUAUCAUUCGUAAAGAAUGGACGAAUGAGAACUCUGCAAGAUUUGCACGAAUGCAAUAGUUUAACUAAUACUUUUUUCAGUGCUACAAGCAUAAUGUAUAUAUUU